CAGUAGCCGCGGUAAUACGUAGGGUGCAAGCGUUAAUCGGAAUUACUGGGCGUAAAGCGUGCGCAGGCGGUUCGGAAAGAAAGAUGUGAAAUCCCAGGGCUCAACCUUGGAACUGCAUUUUUAACUACCGGACUAGAGUAUGUCAGAGGGAGGUGGAAUUCCACGUGUAGCAGUGAAAUGCGUAGAUAUGUGGAGGAACACCGAUGGCGAAGGCAGCCUCCUGGGAUAAUACUGACGCUCAUGCACGAAAGCGUGGGGAGCAAACAGGAUUAGAUACCCGUGUAGUCCCUGUCUCUUAUAC
RNAcentral lists this ribosomal RNA (301 nucleotides) under uncultured bacterium. Its description in RNAcentral is "partial 16S ribosomal RNA". It matches the Rfam family "Bacterial small subunit ribosomal RNA", at positions 509 to 807 of the family's 1533-position model. The record is from RNAcentral.